RNAcentral lists this unclassified non-coding RNA (526 nucleotides) under uncultured Hyaloscyphaceae. RNAcentral describes it as "sequence contains ITS1, 5.8S rRNA gene and ITS2". The stretch from base 176 to 329 matches the Rfam family "5.8S ribosomal RNA". Lineage: Eukaryota; Fungi; Ascomycota; Leotiomycetes; Helotiales. The record is from RNAcentral.
CAUUAACCGAGUUCAUGCCCUUACGGGUAGAUCUCCCACCCUAUGUUAUCAUUACCUUUGUUGCUUUGGCGGGCCGCCAGGCUUCGGCUAGGCUAUCGGCUUCGGCUGGUAAGCGCCCGCCAGGGGACCCAACAUCCUGAUUAUUAGUGUCGUCUGAGUACUAUAUAAUAGUUAAAACUUUCAACAACGGAUCUCUUGGUUCUGGCAUCGAUGAAGAACGCAGCGAAAUGCGAUAAGUAAUGUGAAUUGCAGAAUUCAGUGAAUCAUCGAAUCUUUGAACGCACAUUGCGCCCCUUGGUAUUCCGAGGGGCAUGCCUGUUCGAGCGUCAUUACAACCCUCAAGCAUUGCUUGGUGUUGGGCUCCGCUGCUAACCUAGCGGGCCUUAAAAUCAGUGGCGGUGCCGUCGGGCCCUGAGCGUAGUAAAUCUCCUCGCUACAGGGACUCGAUAGACGCUGGCCAUCAGCCCCCUUACUUUCUAAGUUUGACCUCGGAUCAGGUAGGGAUACCCGCUGAACUUAAGCAUAU